CCAGCCACCCCGGUUAUUUGAGAGACCCCAGUUGAUGACUACGGCGUAAAGAGGAGGUUUGGGGCCUAAAAAAAUAAAGCCAAAGACCUCCCAAGCUGUCAAACGCACCCCGGAGACACGAAGCCCUAACACGAAAGUAGCUUUACCCUCUAUUCCCGACGCCACGAAAGCUAAGAGAAAAACUGGGAUUAGAUACCCCACUAUGCUUAGCCCUAAACUUAGAUGGAAACUUACAAAUACCUUCCCCCAGGGUACUACAAAGCGCUAGCUUAAAACCCAAAGGACUUGACGGUGUUUCAAACCCGCCUAGAGGAGCCUGUUCUAGAACCGAUA
Molecule: ribosomal RNA, 333 nt
Filed under: Prochilodus costatus
Lineage: Eukaryota; Metazoa; Chordata; Actinopteri; Characiformes; Prochilodontidae
Description: partial small subunit ribosomal RNA
Rfam family: Bacterial small subunit ribosomal RNA
Source: RNAcentral